CUCGACAUAGCUCAGUUGGAAGAGCGCGGGACUGUAAAUCCUGAGGUCGCUGGUUCGAUCCCGGCUGUCGAGA
This 73-nucleotide transfer RNA is filed under the name Plicaturopsis crispa FD-325 SS-3. RNAcentral describes it as "tRNA-Tyr (GTA) (tRNA-Tyr-GTA-1-1)". It matches the Rfam family "tRNA". From Rfam's summary of the family: Transfer RNA (tRNA) molecules are approximately 80 nucleotides in length. Their secondary structure includes four short double-helical elements and three loops (D, anti-codon, and T loops). The record is from RNAcentral. Lineage: Eukaryota; Fungi; Basidiomycota; Agaricomycetes; Amylocorticiales; Amylocorticiaceae.